CAGUCGAACGAUGAAGCCCUUCGGGGUGGAUUAGUGGCGAACGGGUGAGUAACACGUGGGCAAUCUGCCCUUCACUCUGGGACAAGCCCUGGAAACGGGGUCUAAUACCGGAUAAUACCGGCCUCUGCAUGGGGGCUGGUUAAAAGCUCCGGCGGUGAAGGAUGAGCCCGCGGCCUAUCAGCUUGUUGGUGGGGUAAUGGCCUACCAAGGCGACGACGGGUAGCCGGCCUGAGAGGGCGACCGGCCACACUGGGACUGAGACACGGCCCAGACUCCUACGGGAGGCAGCAGUGGGGAAUAUUGCACAAUGGGCGAAAGCCUGAUGCAGCGACGCCGCGUGAGGGAUGACGGCCUUCGGGUUGUAAACCUCUUUCAGCAGGGAAGAAGCGAAAGUGACGGUACCUGCAGAAGAAGCGCCGGCUAACUACGUGCCAGCAGCCGCGGUAAUACGUAGGGCGCAAGCGUUGUCCGGAAUUAUUGGGCGUAAAGAGCUCGUAGGCGGCUUGUCACGUCGGGUGUGAAAGCCCGGGGCUUAACCCCGGGUCUGCAUCCGAUACGGGCAGGCUAGAGUGUGGUAGGGGAGAUCGGAAUUCCUGGUGUAGCGGUGAAAUGCGCAGAUAUCAGGAGGAACACCGGUGGCGAAGGCGGAUCUCUGGGCCAUUACUGACGCUGAGGAGC
Molecule: ribosomal RNA, 678 nt
Filed under: Streptomyces gardneri
Lineage: Bacteria; Bacillati; Actinomycetota; Actinomycetes; Kitasatosporales; Streptomycetaceae
Description: bacterial SSU rRNA
Rfam family: Bacterial small subunit ribosomal RNA
Source: RNAcentral